RNAcentral lists this ribosomal RNA (2774 nucleotides) under Triticum aestivum (bread wheat). Its description in RNAcentral is "partial small subunit ribosomal RNA". The record is from RNAcentral. Lineage: Eukaryota; Viridiplantae; Streptophyta; Magnoliopsida; Poales; Poaceae.
CACUGCUUAUUUCUUCGUUGCAUUAGGUGGGCGCCGCCCGGCCGGCCGCGCGAAGCGGCAGCGAGGCAGGGCGGCCGCCCGCUACCAAGGUCUCGGUUUUGCGUUGCCGUGCCCCAUCCCACUCCCAUAUAAGCUAGGUUGGCGUGCCGUGCGGGUGCGGGGCGUGCGACGGCGGUAGCGGCAGUGCGGAGGGUGCGGGCGUGAUUAAAGAGGACGGGCGUGGGAAGUAGCCGUGUUUGGCGGCGGGGAAACGUGACGGUCGGCGCGGCGGCUAGCUAGCGAAGAAGAAUCAACUGAGGCGCGACAGGACUACCGGGGCGGAGGGGGACGAGGACGACGCCGCCGCCGCCGCCGCUCCCGGCCGCCCGACCAGGACACCGACGUGCCGAGGCGGCUCUGCCCGCUCGUCUCGGCGCCGGUCUAGCGCGGGAUGAAGAGGCGGCGGGGGCGGGAGGCGGAGAGGAAGGGUUGGCGGGGGUAGCGGACGCAACCACUGAACCACGAGUUACGCACCAAGCCGUAGGGCCUCUAGGGGUAUUGGCGAUGGUGACAAUCUCUGCUCCUUCUCCAGGAUCUUCGACAACUCGCACAUGUGCUUUACAAUCUGUUUCUUCACCGACGGCCUUGUACAGGAUGCUUGUAAAAACAAACACCCAAUUCGGUUCCUCCGCGAGAUCGGUAUCGUUCACAAGACGAGAUGGGGUUCUGAAAUCCACCCACACGACAAAAGUCACCAAGUCAAGGAGACUCGUUUAGUAAACGACCGUCCCACUGUGGACUUCGGUCUUUCUGAGGCCAAAAUACCAAGGUACCCUACCGUCUGCCCCACCAUGAUAAGCUUCGGCCCGUACGGCCCACGCGUAAAGAGGUUCUCGAACCGUACUGGACGCUUAAGUUCUGAAUAGGCUGGGAACCCGUGAACGAACACCUACUUCUCGAGGUCAUAAAAGCUGCUACCUAUAAGCUAGCAGAUCCCUAAAGAGUUCCUUGACUUCGACGUUCUGGCAGCAGUAGUAGCAACAGCUUGGUGCUUCUAGAUGUGAUCGAUCCCACGAAGUGUUUGAAUGACCGUGGUAAAGAUCCACCGUGUAACGAUGGUGUAUGCACUGGACUUAGAGUCAAAUAUAACGGUGUGCUUACGAAACCUUCUGUACUAGGUUACCUUCAACAAAAAAUACUAUAGGUUCCUUUCCUAAUACUAUAUGAUAAUGUCAACUGAACGAGAAAAAGCACACGGACUAACUACUGAACGAGACAAUAAGCAACUACGAAGCCAAUUGACAGUGCACUUAGACUGUACCGGCCACCGAGUAGCUACUACAAGAGAAUAAGUACAAUAGAAACGUUAGCAGUUUUAGCCCAUUUAAAAACGAAGACUAACCGUCACUAAAAAGAUGGUGAGAGUCGUGUUCGCGUGUCCGACUGCUCCAUGAAGCCGGGCCGGGCCGGGUAUACUGGGUACUCAUCUGCGCAGGCGAAGGAGAAGAGGCAGCGGCGUCGGUAGCGGCGCCGGAGGGAGGAGCGGCGGAGCGAGGCGGCGGGGCGGAGGGGCCGGGGUACCGCCGGGCGUUGGCCUCGAAGCACGACACCGACGUGCCGGAGCCGCUGAGGCCGGGGCGGUUGCUCGGGUAGGCGUGGAAGAAGCGGCGCGGCCUCAAGGCGGUGUGGUUCACCCGCAAGGGGAGGCGGGGGUUGAGGGGGCAGAGGACGUUGUUACCGCGGCACUACGGUAGUACCAAGCUAUAGGUGCUCGAAGGAAACUCGGGACCAAGCGGCGUUCUACUCUCGCCACAAGAAUUCCGACACCUCUUACACGUGCGGUACUAGCUGUCCCUCCACCGGCCGCCGUAGGUAGGACUGUUGUAUAAACACACGCCCAAGUCAGUCCCUCCACGAGACUGUAAUCGUUCACAAAACGAAAUAGGCUUCUGCGAUCCACCACCACGGCACAAGUCACCGACCCAGGGAAAGCCAAGCAGCCAGUAACUCUCCUAAAGUGGGCUUCGUUCCUUCUGUGGAUAAGACACCAGCGUACCUUAUCGACUAGUUCACCAUAAUAAACUUCGGCCAGUCCGGCCGGGUGGUAAAAACGUUUCACGUCCGUAGUCAACACUUAAAUUCCGUAUGGGUUUAGAUCCGGUGAGCUAGCGUUUCCUUCUCGAUAGGAGAGAGCUCCGCACCUAGUUCCCAGCAGAGUUUCGGAACGUUCUAUUCGUUUCAAUUGCAGGAAGUCAAACCCGGCGGCAGUGCAAGGGGUGGUAUCGUUUUGACCGAUUACGUCGGCAUGACUUGGACAUAAGGGACCAUAUAACUACUUGAGCCUGCUAGGUUUGAUAAGAACUCUGAAACAGUACGUGAGUACGAGUACUUACAGAGGCGCCUACGUAGUGACUACAAGGUCCUUUAAUACAUGACGCCAUACAACAAAGAAAGAGGACAUCCAAACUGGACCAUGAUGGACCUAUGGCAACAUGUCCAUAGGAGAGACGAAUCUUAGACGGAUAGCUGUGCCAGGUAACACCGAAAGUCAAAGGUGUGAAAACUCGCAUAGAAUGUAGCCAACUUAUAGUAUGCCACAUACGUGCCGUACAUCAUCUUGAACAGGAAAUAACAAUCAUUCUAUGGUGACCCUAAGACUUGGCUGCAACCUACAUGGCUUUAGGUACGGGAAAGAUCAGUAAACACAUUUACCUCGAGUACAGAAACGAUGUUUCUCUUCUUGAAGUACAGGAGAAGGGACACCUACGCAAAAAAGGCCUGUUUUACAAAGAGGG